Lepidothrix coronata (blue-crowned manakin) is the source of this 3183-nucleotide RNA transcript. It is a transcript of the gene named WD repeat domain 20, with no coding region annotated. The record is from RefSeq and is a predicted model, not a curated record. The transcript has 5 exons. NCBI's taxonomy places the organism in Eukaryota, Metazoa, Chordata, Aves, Passeriformes, Pipridae.
CGGCGGCUGCGCAGUGUGGGCACAUCCGGGCACUGGGGCAGGAUGAGCGCUCCUUUCCAAGAUGGCGGCGGAGGGAGGAGGGAAGGAGAUGAACGAGAUUAAGACCCAGUUCACCACCCGGGAGGGGCUGUACAAGCUGCUGAGCCAUUCGGAGUACAGCCGGCCCAACCGCGUGCCCUUCAACUCGCAGGGCUCCAACCCCGUCCGUGUCUCCUUCGUCAACGUCAACGACCAGAGCGGCAACGGGGACCGGCUCUGCUUCAAUGUGGGCCGAGAGCUCUACUUCUACAUCUACAAGGGGGUCCGCAAGGCUGCGGACUUGAGUAAACCAAUAGACAAAAGGAUAUACAAAGGAACACAGCCUACAUGCCAUGACUUCAAUCACUUAACAGCCACAGCAGAAAGUGUGUCUCUUCUAGUGGGCUUCUCCGCAGGCCAGGUCCAGCUUAUAGACCCUAUUAAAAAAGAAACUAGCAAAUUAUUUAAUGAGGAAAGACUAAUAGACAAGUCCAGAGUAACCUGUGUAAAAUGGGUACCGGGUUCGGAAAGCCUUUUCCUAGUAGCUCAUUCCAGUGGCAAUAUGUACUUGUAUAACGUGGAGCACACUUGUGGUACCACAGCCCCGCACUACCAGCUACUUAAACAAGGAGAGAGUUUUGCAGUGCACACUUGCAAGAGUAAAUCCACAAGAAACCCUCUGCUUAAAUGGACAGUAGGUGAGGGUGCCCUGAAUGAAUUUGCCUUUUCCCCCGAUGGGAAGUUCUUGGCGUGCGUGAGCCAGGAUGGUUUUCUUCGCGUGUUUAACUUUGAUUCGGUGGAAUUGCAUGGUACAAUGAAAAGCUACUUUGGAGGACUGCUGUGUGUGUGCUGGAGUCCCGAUGGGAAGUACAUAGUGACAGGCGGAGAGGAUGACUUGGUGACAGUUUGGUCUUUCGUGGACUGUCGAGUCAUAGCGAGAGGCCACGGACACAAAUCGUGGGUCAGUGUCGUUGCGUUCGAUCCAUAUACCACUAGUGUAGAAGAGAGUGACCCGAUGGAAUUUAGCGGAAGUGAUGAGGAUUUCCAAGACCUCCAUUUUGGCAGAGAUCGAGCCAAUAGCACGCAAUCUAGAUUAUCCAAAAGGAACUCUACAGACAGUCGUCCAGUAAGUGUUACAUAUAGAUUUGGUUCAGUAGGCCAGGACACACAGCUCUGUUUGUGGGAUCUUACAGAAGAUAUCCUCUUCCCCCACCAACCUCUCUCAAGAGCAAGGACACAUACAAAUGUCAUGAAUGCCACAAGUCCACCUGCAGGAAGUGGUGGAACUAACCCAGGAAGUAAUGGAAACAGUAUCACAACACCUGGAAACUCUGUACCCCCUCCUCUUCCACGAUCAAACAGCCUUCCACACUCUGCAGUCUCAAAUGCUGGCAGUAAAAGCAGUGUCAUGGAUGGUGCCAUUGCUUCUGGCGUUAGUAAAUUUGCAACCUUAUCGCUACAUGAUCGGAAGGAAAGACACCAUGAAAAAGAUCACAAGAGAAACCAUAGCAUGGGACAUAUAUCUAGCAAGAGCAGUGACAAACUGAACCUAGUUACUAAAACCAAAACGGACCCAGCUAAAACUUUGGGAACACCUCUCUGUCCCCGAAUGGAAGAUGUUCCCUUGUUAGAGCCUCUUAUCUGUAAAAAGAUAGCACAUGAAAGACUGACUGUGUUAAUUUUUCUUGAAGACUGUAUAGUCACUGCUUGUCAGGAGGGAUUUAUUUGCACAUGGGCAAGGCCUGGUAAAGUGAGAUAAAGUAUGCAGUACCAAAAAUCAGGAUUUAUGUAUUGGCCAAUAUGGAAAACUUUAAUUACAGCAACUCCAUUUUACGUGAAUGAAAGUUGCUGAUGAGUUUCCUGGGUGAGAAAGCUCGAGGUAAGAUUGGCCAGAAGCACCCCCAGGAGAAAUGGCAGUGUAUAACCUAGCAAGAGAAACAUGCUACCACUUUGUAAAACAAAUGCACAUGGAAUUUAUUUAUUUGACUUAUUGUACAGGAAAACUUAGACUUAAAUUAUAACAUCCUUGAAUUUUCUAGUUAACUACAAUUGUAGUACAGUAUCAUGUUUUAGUAUGACUUCUGUUUUAGUGAAAGUACUUAAACAUUCAUGUACUAUAUUUGAGUGAGAUGAGCAGCUAUACAUACUAAUUCUUCCUCAAUGGAAAGGAGCAUUUCAUCAUUACAAUUGAAGUUCAAUUGCUGGUAUUUAAGUACUAUCAAAUAGAUUUCUUUCAACGUGAUACGGUAUCUGUAUAAACUUCAGGGAUGAUUAUAGUAAAACUGAAACACAGCUAUACGACAUCAGGUUACCAUGCUAAAAUUUGAAGCUUUCUGUAAUGUGCAUAAUAGCAAAGUUGCACAUGGCCUACCCCCAUUAUCAGGGUGAAUUAAAGCCUAGUACACUGGUGUGAUAUUUAUAGCAAGGUAUGUGUGUGUGUGUGUGUGUGUGAGGAGGUGUGAAUAGUGGCUCCAGUAAAGCCAGGAGAGAUCAUAACCCUGUAAAGGCUUUAUGAUUAGGAUGUCUGGACUAGGAAAUAACAUGACUUUUACUAAACACUUUCUAGAAAACCCAUGUUCUGAAUUAUCACCUCUUAAAAUUUGAGUAUGUACUUGGAAUGACUGUAUAUGUCUGCCCCUUUAACAACAUAAAGCUACUAAAUUAAUAUUUAAAAUGCUGGCCUGCUUAUGUUACAAUAAUAAAAUUUGUGUCAGUUAAUUUACUGUCAAUUUACAUGUAAAGAUUAAACUAUUUUUUCUGCAUUUUAUGAUUCUGUAUACUGGAGUUUGUUAAAGAUUGACAUGUUAGGUGAUACUGUACAAAAUUGUAUUGACUACCUUUAGUGAAAAUCAAAAGUAAAAUUCAUAUGUAUUUCCUUUUUACACUUCCAUCUAAUUUCUUGACAACUUGAAUAAAUUUCAUAGAGCCUUUCUAACAUGAACUAUUGUUAAUUUAACUGUUGCAAUAAUUAAGCUUUAAGAAGUAUUGUUGGUAUAUUUAUAAUUUUAAGAAGAUCAUGUUUGUUUCAUACUGCUUAUUUUUAGCUGUUCUAUUGUCACUGUUACAGCUGAAGAACUUUACUAAAUACUUGACAUUACAAAAUAACUUGCUGGGGUUGUCCUCUGUAUACUGAUGUUAAAUAAAAAUGUGUGAUUGAACUGUAAA